GAUGAACGCUGGCGGCGUGCCUAAUACAUGCAAGUCGAGCGAACGGACGAGAAGCUUGCUUCUCUGAUGUUAGCGGCGGACGGGUGAGUAACACGUGGAAAACCUACCUAUCAGACUGGGAUAACUUCGGGAAACCGGAGCUAAUACCGGAUAAUAUUUUGAACCGCAUGGUUCAAAAGUGAAAGACGGUCUUGCUGGCACUUAUAGAUGGAUCCGCGCUGCAUUGGCUAGUUGGUAAGGUAAAGGCUUACCAAGGCAACGAUGCAUAGCCGACCUGAGAGGGUGAUCGGCCACACUGGAACUUAGCCACGGACCAGACUCCUACGGGAGGCAGCAGUAGGGAAUCUUCCGCAAUGGGCGAAAGCCUGACGGAGCAACGCCGCGUGAGUGAUGAAGGUCUUCGGAUCGUAAAACUCUGUUAUUAGUGAAGAACAUAUGUGUAAGUAACUGUGCACAUCUUGACGGUACCUAAUCAGAAAGCCACGGCUAACUACGUG
RNAcentral lists this ribosomal RNA (497 nucleotides) under uncultured bacterium. RNAcentral's name for it is "partial 16S ribosomal RNA". It matches the Rfam family "Bacterial small subunit ribosomal RNA", at positions 28 to 507 of the family's 1533-position model. The record is from RNAcentral.